AUGGCAAACUGCUUAGUAACACAUGAUCAACUUACCCUAUGGAGAAAUAUAAUCUCGGGAAACUGAGGAUAAUUUUUCAUAGUUGAAUAGGCUUGGAAAAGUUUUUCAAUGAAAGGGAUAAGAAAAAUGGUUCUUAUCUGCCAUAGGAUAGGAUCGUGGUCGAUUAUGGUUGUUGGUGAGGUAACGGCUCACCAAGCCGAUAAUCGAUAGGGGCCGUGAGAGCGGGAGCCCCAAGAUGGGUACUGAGACAGCGACCCAGGCCUUACGAGGCGCAGCAGGUACGAAACCUCCGCAAUACACGAAAGUGUGACGGGGUUACCCAAAGUGUUCUCUAUUGAACUGUGGCAGGUGAGUAAUGUCCCCUGCUAGAAAGGAGAGGGCAAGGCUGGUGCCAGCCGCCGCGGUAAAACCAGCUCUUCAAGUGGUCGGGAUAAUUAUUGGGCUUAAAGUGUCCGUAGCCGGUUUAGUAAGUUCCUGGUAAAAUCGGGUAGCUUAACUAUCUGUAUGCUAGGAAUACUGCUAUACUAGAGGGCGGGAGAGGUCUGAGGUACUACAGGGGUAGGGGUGAAAUCUUAUAAUCCUUGUAGGACCACCAGUGGCGAAGGCGUCAGACUGGAACGCGCCUGACGGUGAGGGACGAAAGCCAGGGGAGCGAACCGGAUUAGAUACCCGGGUAGUCCUGGCCGUAAACGAUGCAUACUAGGUGAUGGUACGGCCAUGAGCCGUGUCAGUGCCGUAGGGAAACCGUUAAGUGUGCCGCCUGGGAAGUACGGUCGCAAGGCUAAAACUUAAAGGAAUUG
Molecule: ribosomal RNA, 800 nt
Filed under: uncultured archaeon
Lineage: Archaea
Description: bacterial SSU rRNA
Rfam family: Archaeal small subunit ribosomal RNA
Source: RNAcentral